This 500-nucleotide ribosomal RNA is filed under the name uncultured bacterium. Its description in RNAcentral is "partial 16S ribosomal RNA". It matches the Rfam family "Bacterial small subunit ribosomal RNA", at positions 30 to 523 of the family's 1533-position model. The record is from RNAcentral.
AUUGAACGCUGGCGGCAUGCCUUACACAUGCAAGUCGAACGGCAGCACGGGAGCAAUCCUGGUGGCGAGUGGCGAACGGGUGAGUAAAGUAUCGGAACGUGCCCAGUCGUGGGGGAUAACGUAGCGAAAGUUACGCUAAUACCGCAUACGAUCUAUGGAUGAAAGCGGGGGAUCGCAAGACCUCGCGCGAUUGGAGCGGCCGAUAUCAGAUCAGAUAGUUGGUGGGGUAGAGGCUCACCAAGUCGACGAUCUGUAGCUGGUCUGAGAGGACGACCAGCCACACUGGGACUGAGACACGGCCCAGACUCCGACGGGAGGCAGCAGUGGGGAAUUUUGGACAAUGGGCGAAAGCCUGAUCCAGCCAUGCCGCGUGCAGGAUGAAGGCCUUCGGGUUGUGAACUGCUUUUGUACGGAACGAGAAGGUUUGGCCUAAUAAGCUGAGCUCAUGACGGUACCGUAAGAAUAAGCACCGGCUAACUACGUGCCAGCAGCCGCAGUAA